GGGCGGUUAGCUCAGGGGGAGAGCGCUACCUUGACACGGUAGAGGCCGCUGGUUCGAUCCCAGCACCGCCCA
This 72-nucleotide transfer RNA is filed under the name Actinobacteria bacterium QS_5_72_10. Its description in RNAcentral is "tRNA-Val". It matches the Rfam family "tRNA". From Rfam's summary of the family: Transfer RNA (tRNA) molecules are approximately 80 nucleotides in length. Their secondary structure includes four short double-helical elements and three loops (D, anti-codon, and T loops). Further hydrogen bonds mediate the characteristic L-shaped molecular structure. tRNAs have two regions of fundamental functional importance: the anti-codon, which is responsible for specific mRNA codon recognition, and the 3' end, to which the tRNAs corresponding amino acid is attached (by aminoacyl-tRNA synthetases). tRNAs cope with the degeneracy of the genetic code in two manners: having more than one tRNA (with a specific anti-codon) for a particular amino acid; and 'wobble' base-pairing, i.e. permitting non-standard base-pairing at the 3rd anti-codon position. Lineage: Bacteria; Bacillati; Actinomycetota. The record is from RNAcentral.